This 654-nucleotide ribosomal RNA is filed under the name Paenisporosarcina sp. B2769. RNAcentral describes it as "bacterial SSU rRNA". It matches the Rfam family "Bacterial small subunit ribosomal RNA", at positions 68 to 702 of the family's 1533-position model. The record is from RNAcentral. Lineage: Bacteria; Bacillati; Bacillota; Bacilli; Caryophanales; Caryophanaceae.
GAAUGAUGAAGAAGCUUGCUUCUUCUGAUUUUAGCGGCGGACGGGUGAGUAACACGUGGGCAACCUACCUUGUAGAUUGGGAUAACUCCGGGAAACCGGGGCUAAUACCGAAUAAACCAUUUUGCUUCAUGGCAAGAUGUUGAAAGGCGGCUUCGGCUGUCACUACUAGAUGGGCCCGCGGCGUAUUAGCUAGUUGGUAGGGUAAUGGCCUACCAAGGCGACGAUACGUAGCCGACCUGAGAGGGUGAUCGGCCACACUGGGACUGAGACACGGCCCAGACUCCUACGGGAGGCAGCAGUAGGGAAUCUUCCACAAUGGACGAAAGUCUGAUGGAGCAACGCCGCGUGAGUGAAGAAGGUUUUCGGAUCGUAAAACUCUGUUGUAAGGGAAGAACACGUACGAGAGUAACUGCUCGUACCUUGACGGUACCUUAUUAGAAAGCCACGGCUAACUACGUGCCAGCAGCCGCGGUAAUACGUAGGUGGCAAGCGUUGUCCGGAAUUAUUGGGCGUAAAGCGCGCGCAGGCGGUUCUUUAAGUCUGAUGUGAAAGCCCACGGCUCAACCGUGGAGGGUCAUUGGAAACUGGAGAACUUGAGUACAGAAGAGGAAAGCGGAAUUCCACGUGUAGCGGUGAAAUGCGUAGAGAUGUGGA